This 69-nucleotide transfer RNA is filed under the name Marmota monax (woodchuck). RNAcentral's name for it is "tRNA.Ala". The record is from RNAcentral. Lineage: Eukaryota; Metazoa; Chordata; Mammalia; Rodentia; Sciuridae.
GGAAUUGUGACUCAGUGGUAGAGCGUUUACCUGGCACAUGUGAGGGCCUGAGUUCAAUCCUCAGCACCA